AUCUUGAGUGUAGGAGGGGAGAAUGGAACUUCUGGUGGAGCGGUGAAAUGCGUAGAUAUCAGAAGGAACGCCGGCGGCGAAAGCGAUUCUCUGGCCUAUUACUGACACUCAGUGUGCGAAAGCUAGGGGAGCAAACGGGAUUAGAUACCCCGGUAGUCCUAGCCGUAAACGAUGGGCACUAAGUAGUGGGAAUUACCGAUGUUCUCUCUGCCGUAGCUAACGCAUUAAGUGCCCCGCCUGGGGAGUACGGCCGCAAGGCUAAAACUCAAAAGAAUUGACGGGGGCUCGCACAAGCGGUGGAGCAUGUGGCUUAAUUCGAUGCAACGCGAAAAACCUUACCGGGGCUUGACAUGUUAGAAGUAGGAACCUGAAAGGGUAACGAACGGUAUCCAGUCCGUAGCUAUCACAGGUGUUGCAUGGCUGUCGUCAGCUCGUGUCGUGAGACGUUGGGUUAAGUCCCCUAACGAGCGAAACCCUUGUUUUUAGUUACCAGCGGGUUGUGCCGGGUACUCUAGAAAGACUGCCGUCGUCAAGACGGAGGAAGGUGGGGAUGACGUCAAGUCAUCAUGGCCCUUAUGCCCCGGGCUGCACACGCGCUACAAUGGUCGGUACAAACGGAAGCGAAGCCGAGAGGUGAAGCGAAUCCAAGC
This 650-nucleotide ribosomal RNA is filed under the name uncultured Planctomycetota bacterium. Its description in RNAcentral is "bacterial SSU rRNA". It matches the Rfam family "Bacterial small subunit ribosomal RNA", at positions 639 to 1278 of the family's 1533-position model. Lineage: Bacteria; Pseudomonadati; Planctomycetota. The record is from RNAcentral.